This 293-nucleotide ribosomal RNA is filed under the name uncultured bacterium. Its description in RNAcentral is "partial 16S ribosomal RNA". It matches the Rfam family "Bacterial small subunit ribosomal RNA", at positions 505 to 796 of the family's 1533-position model. The record is from RNAcentral.
GUGCCAGCAGCCGCGGUAAGACGAACCGUGCGAACGUUAUUCGGAAUCACUGGGCUUAAAGCGCGUGUAGGCGGGACGGCACGUCGGUUGCUGAAAUCCCCCGGCUCAACCGGGGAACGGGCAGCGAUACGACCGUCCUGGAGGGGGGUAGGGGGAGCUGGAACUUCCGGUGGAGCGGUGAAAUGCGUUGAGAUCGGAAGGAACGCCCGUGGCGAAAGCGAGCUCCUGGACCCUUACUGACGCUGAGACGCGAAAGCCAGGGGAGCGAACGGGAUUAGAUACCCUGGUAGUCC